AAGAAAAAAAAUCUGUCAUCCAAUCAAAAAAAUAGAGAAAGAAUUCUUCUUCAAAAAAAAAAAAAUCUAAAAUCCCAACUUUAGAUUCAUCCAUCUGGCUUCUUUUUCAAGGGAUUAUAUCAAAUUUUCUAUGUGUUUGCGACUAUCUGUGUUGGUUUAGGUUCGACAACUUUUACAUCCAUUCACGGGCUGGCCAUCUGGAUUUUCUUCCUUCAAUUCGAACGUUUUGUUUUGUUCCAAACACACACGUACCAGUUUUUUUAUUUUUUUUUUGGAUCAAUGAAAUAAUGAUGAAAACGGCAUGCAAUAUACGCCAUGAAAUAUACGCCACCAUUGUUUGUUUGUAUUGCAUACAUAAAUGAAACGUUUGAAUUUUCGUAUCUGAAACGUCAGUGACAACAAACCAAAUUAUUAAUGCACAAAAAAAAAAAAAAUAAUACCCAGUGAUAAUGGUGGUUUCAAAAGUCAUCAUCCGAUGCUCUAAUUUUUUUUUCUCCAUUCAUAUUCAGUCCAACCAAAACUAGCCAUCUACAAUUUAUUUAUUUAAACUUUGACAUCCAAAAAUAGACAUCAAAAAGUAAGGAGUUUUUGGCAACCAUUCAACUUUGAACAGGUCGAUGGCCGACACUUUUUUCCACUUUUUUUUUUUUUUUUUUGUUUCGUCUCGAUUCAUUUGAUAUGAUGAUGGUGAAAAAAGAGAAAGAGAGAAAUUCAAGAUUAUCACAUCAAGUCAAAUAUUUCAAGAAUAAAUGAAUGAAUGAACGAAUCAAGUUAUUGUCCGAAUGUUGAAAAGUUGUCCAACAACAACAACAACAACAACAACGACGACGACGACCAUGAUGACGACGACGACUUAUUACUGUCCAUAUAAAAACUUGAAUCGAAUCAAUGAUGCUAAUCGUUUAUAUUUUGACCUUGAAUUGAAAAAAAUUUUUGCCUUGUUUAAAGCAUGUAAAAAUAGUUGUUCCUGAUUUGGAACAAAAAUAAACAAAUGUGAAAUUUCUUUACCGGAUAUUCAAAAUAAUAUAAUGAUAUAUAUA
This is a non-coding RNA of Dermatophagoides farinae (American house dust mite), 1040 nucleotides long. The record is from RefSeq and is a predicted model, not a curated record. Lineage: Eukaryota; Metazoa; Arthropoda; Arachnida; Sarcoptiformes; Pyroglyphidae.